GGGCGUUAAGUUGCAGGGUAUAGACCCGAAACCCGGUGAUCUAGCCAUGGGCAGGUUGAAGGUUGGGUAACACUAACUGGAGGACCGAACCGACUAAUGUUGAAAAAUUAGCGGAUGACCUGUGGCUGGGGGUGAAAGGCCAAUCAAACCGGGAGAUAGCUGGUUCUCCCCGAAAGCUAUUUAGGUAGCGCCUCGUGAAUUCAUCUCCGGGGGUAGAGCACUGUUUCGGCUAGGGGGCCAUCCCGGCUUACCAACCCGAUGCAAACUGCGAAUACCGGAGAAUGUUAUCACGGGAGACACACGGCGGGUGCUAACGUCCGUCGUGAAGAGGGAAACAACCCAGACCGCCAGCUAAGGUCCCAAAGUCAUGGUUAAGUGGGAAACGAUGUGGGAAGGCCCAGACAGCCAGGAUGUUGGCUUAGAAGCAGCCAUCAUUUAAAGAAAGCGUAAUAGCUCACUGGUCGAGUCGGCCUGCGCGGAAGAUGUAACGGGGCUAAACCAUGCACCGAAGCUGCGGCAGCGACGCUGAUGCGUUGUUGGGUAGGGGAGCGUUCUGUAAGCCUGUGAAGGUGGCCUGUGAGGGUUGCUGGAGGUAUCAGAAGUGCGAAUGCUGACAUAAGUAACGAUAAAGCGGGUGAAAAGCCCGCUCGCCGGAAGACCAAGGGUUCCUGUCCAACGUUAAUCGGGGCAGGGUGAGUCGACCCCUAAGGCGAGGCCGAAAGGCGUAGUCGAUGGGAAACGGGUUAAUAUUCCCGUACUUGGUGUUACUGCGAAGGGGGGACGGAGAAGGCUAUGUUGGCCGGGCGACGGUUGUCCCGGUUUAAGCGUGUAGG
This 833-nucleotide ribosomal RNA is filed under the name Salmonella enterica. Its description in RNAcentral is "bacterial LSU rRNA". It matches the Rfam family "Bacterial large subunit ribosomal RNA", at positions 690 to 1524 of the family's 2925-position model. The record is from RNAcentral. RNAcentral also lists the same sequence under 3 other names. Lineage: Bacteria; Pseudomonadati; Pseudomonadota; Gammaproteobacteria; Enterobacterales; Enterobacteriaceae.